This 513-nucleotide ribosomal RNA is filed under the name uncultured bacterium. RNAcentral's name for it is "partial 16S ribosomal RNA". It matches the Rfam family "Bacterial small subunit ribosomal RNA", at positions 28 to 507 of the family's 1533-position model. The record is from RNAcentral.
GACGAACGCUGGCGGCGUGCUUAACACAUGCAAGUCGAACGAAAAGAGGGAAAGAGCUUGCUCUUUCCGGAAUUGAGUGGCAAACGGGUGAGUAACACGUAAACAACCUGCCUUCAGGAUGGGGACAACAGACGGAAACGACUGCUAAUACCGAAUAAGUUCCAAGGGCCGCAUGGCCCAUGGAAGAAAAGGUGGCCUCUACCUGUAAGCUAUCGCCUGAAGAGGGGUUUGCGUCUGAUUAGCUGGUUGGAGGGGUAACGGCCCACCAAGGCGACGGUCAGUAACCGGUCUGGGAGGAUGGACGGCCACACUGGGAUUGGGACACGGUCCAGACUCCUAAGGGAGGCAGCAGUGGGGAAUCUUCCGGAAUGGGCGAAAGCCUGACCGGGCAACGCCGCGGGAGGGAUGACGGCCUUCGGGUUGCAAAACUCUGUGAUCCGGGACGAAAAGGCAGAGUGCGAAGAACAAACUGCAUUGACGGUACCGGAAAAGCAAGCCACGGCUAACUACGUG